Molecule: transfer RNA, 71 nt
Filed under: Ovis aries (sheep)
Lineage: Eukaryota; Metazoa; Chordata; Mammalia; Artiodactyla; Bovidae
Rfam family: tRNA
About the family: Transfer RNA (tRNA) molecules are approximately 80 nucleotides in length. Their secondary structure includes four short double-helical elements and three loops (D, anti-codon, and T loops). Further hydrogen bonds mediate the characteristic L-shaped molecular structure. tRNAs have two regions of fundamental functional importance: the anti-codon, which is responsible for specific mRNA codon recognition, and the 3' end, to which the tRNAs corresponding amino acid is attached (by aminoacyl-tRNA synthetases). tRNAs cope with the degeneracy of the genetic code in two manners: having more than one tRNA (with a specific anti-codon) for a particular amino acid; and 'wobble' base-pairing, i.e. permitting non-standard base-pairing at the 3rd anti-codon position.
Source: Rfam by way of RNAcentral
CCUGAGGUGGCUCAGAGGUUAAAGCAUCUGCCUCCAAUGCGGGAGACCUGGGUUCGAUCCCUGGGUCGGGA